UCGCCUGUUGGAUGAUCUUUCUCUCCUUCGUGAAUUCGUUGGACUGAGAAAAUUCAUCUCUUUUACAGCGCGAUUAAGAUGGAAAUUAGACAACUGGUGGCCGUUGUUUUGUCUGCCCUUGCAUAGAGCUUUAAGCAUUAGUUCUUACGGGAACUUUUCUUGGGUUCUAUGCCAGCAACAGCAAAAUAACUUGCCUUGGUUGUAUUUCCGCUGGUUAUCGCACCUUCUUUCCACCAGUCUUGAAACACGGACCAAGGAGUCUACCGGAUGUGCGAGUGUAACGGUGAUUGAAACCGGGACGCGAAAUGAAAGUAACAUCCACCAACCAACCAUUAUCUUGGUUGGCGCAGUGGAGCUCGGUCCUAAUCGUUUGUGAAAGGGAUCUGAAGUUGAGCACAUCCGCUGGGACCCGAAAGAUAGCGAACUUUUCCUGGGCCGAAGGAAGCCAGGGGAAACCUUGGUGGACGUUCGAAGCAAUGCUGACGUGCAAAUCGCUUGUCAGACCCAGGUAAAGGGGCGAAAGACUAAUCGAGCUAUCUAGUAGCUGGUUCCCUCCGAAGUUUCUCUCAGGAUAGCUGGGAACCUUGAGUUGCGCCUGGUAAAGCAAAUGAUCAGAAGCAUUGGGAUGUUUUUGAUCUCAACUUAUUCUCAAACUCUAAAUGGGCGCGGAGCUUCACCUUCUUAUUUGAGGUGAAGACUCGAAUCAGGUUCCCAUGUGGGCCAUUUUUGGUAAGCAGAAUUGGCGACGCGGGAUGAACCGAAAGCGGACUUAAGGUAUCUAAGCUCUGCUAAUCAGAGCCCAUUGAAGGGUGUUGGUGUAUUAAGACAGCAGGGCCGUGGCCAUGGAAGUUGGAACCGGCUAAGGAGUGUGUAACAACUCACCUGCCGAAUGCACCAGCCCCUAAAAUGGACGAUGCUUAAGCAGUGCACCUAUAGUCCGCCAGCUUCUGGUCGACACAAUCUAGAGCUGCGUCGGAGGGCGUGGGGUACGAGACGAAGCGUGUGCUGUAAAGCCACGUGGAUCGUACACCCAGUGCAGAUCUUGGUUGUAGUAGCGAUUAUUCUGUCGAGAAGACAGAAGAUUGAAGCGGAGUCGGUUUCCAUGUGAACAGUACUUGGACAUGGGUUAGUCGGUCCUAACCCCCGAGGAAAUCCUCCUUGGAAAGGCCACUCGAACUGUCCAAAAAGUCUCUUUUCGGCAGUUUCGUGGGCAAUGGGGGAAAGGGAAUUCGGUCCAACAUUCCGAAACCUGUUUGUGGGGAGAAGAGGCUGUAAAGCAGUUGACAACGGAAGACCUCAGGGUAGUCAAGCCCGAGGAGAGCUUUCUUUUCUCUUUGACAUAGCUGAUGCCUCGAACCACAUUUCAGUUGGAGAAAGGCAUCUGAACCCGAAGAGAAAGCGGCGCAAUUUUAGCGUCGUUCGGAGCCUUGAUUAUUCUCAUGGAAGAUCUUCCUGAGAUCCUCUCCUUCACGAACGGACCGUACCGAUAACCGCAUCAGGACUCCGAGGUGAAUAGCCUCUGGUCCAUGGAGCAAUGUGACCAAGGGAAGUCGGCAAAAUAGACGCGUAACUUCGGGAGAAGCGUUGGCUCCAAGGGCUGGAUGUCAGAAGCCAGCGACUCCUUUUGGGUUCAGUGUUGUGGAAUUGAUGAUCUUUCGGAUCUUCGGAUCUGAGAAUGAGUCGGUUCCACUGCGCCCCCCGAAGGAUCGUUGGAAUUUUGACAUUGCGAACAGCCAACUUGGAACUGGUACCGACUAGGGGAAUCCAACUGUUCAAUUGAAACAUAGCAUUGAGACCCGCACGUUGAGACAGUCUUGGACUCAAGGUGCGUCCUGCCCAGUGCUCUGAAUGUUAAUGCAAAGAGAUUUUAUCAAGCUCGGGUAAACGGCGGGAGUAACUAUGACUCUCUUAAGGUAGCCAAAUGCCUCGUCUUCUAACUAAAGACGCGCAUGAAUGGAUUAAUGAGAUUCCCACUGUCCCUGGUUACUCUCCAGCGAACCAACAGCCAAGGGAACGGGCUUGAAGUCUUCAGCGGGGAAAGAAGACCCUGUUGAGUUUGACUCUAAUCUGGACUUGUGAACCGACAUUUGAGGUGUAGAAUAGGUGGGAGGUGCCUUUGGCACCGACGGUGAAAUACCACUACUCAAAUCGUUGGUUUGCUCAUCGCAUCGAAUAGGAACGGCGGCCGGCGACAUUUUGUCGCUUAGGUUCUCUUUGGAGAUCCGUGGCCUUUCCGAUUCGAGAGGUAACCACAAUUUUUGUGGGACCUAUUGUUGCGAGACAUUGGCCAGAUGGGGAGUUUGGCUGGGGCGGCAUAUCUGUUAAACUCUAACGCAGGUGUCCUAAGGCGCACUCAGUAAGAACAGAAAUCUUACGUGGCGGAUUAGGCCAAAAGUGCGCUUGAGCUCUCGAUCUUCAGUACUGAUCCAGACUGCGAAAGCAAGGCCUCACGAUCCUUUGAACUCAUUUAUGUUCUGAGGACGAAGUCAGAGGUGACAGAAAAAUUACCACAGGGAUAACUGGCUUGUGGCCGCCAAGAGUCCAUAUCGACGCUGCUUUUUGAUCCUUCGAUGUCGGCUCUUCCUAUCCUUACCUCGCAGUAGAGGUAAAGGGUUGGAUUGUUCACCCAUCAAAAGGGAACGUGAGCUGGGUUUAGACCGUCGUGAGACAGGUUGGUUUUACCCUACUGAAGAGAAAAAGGCGUGUUGAAGGUAAUCUGGGGUAGUACGAGAGGAACUCCCAUUUCGUGCUGCUGGUUUAUGCCCCUGGUUGACAAACCAGUGGGGCGAAGCUACGCACGAUGAAGUAUGGCUGAAGGCCUCUUAAGCCAGAACUCAGUCCUGUCACACGCCUGCGGUUUCUUGCCGCGCACUGACCAAUUGU
Molecule: ribosomal RNA, 2883 nt
Filed under: hot springs metagenome
Description: eukaryotic LSU rRNA
Rfam family: Eukaryotic large subunit ribosomal RNA
Source: RNAcentral